GCCCAGCGCGGCGCCUGGCGGGAGGGCCGCAGGGAGUGCGCAUGCGGCCGAGUGCGGGACUGGGGCUCCUGGCUGUGGGUGUGGUACCGAGGCUUCAGCGGGUGCCGCCCGCCUAGAGGGAGUGGAGCGAGAGCCUACGACUAGAUUUGCAUCUUUACGUCCUGCGCGGAGGCUGCUACACACAUGCAGAAGUCAUGCUGGUGGCCUGGACAGUGAAGGGAGAGAAGUGGAUUUGGGAGACAUUUAGGAGAUGGCACCAAAAGCGAAGGAAGCUCCUGCUCAUCCUAAAGCCGAAGCCAAAGCGAAGGCUUUAAAGGCCAAGAAGGCAGUGUUGAAAGGUGUCCGCAGCCACACGCAAAAAAGAAGAUCCGCAUGUCACUCACCUUCAGGCGGCCCAAGACACUGCGACUCCGGAGGCAGCCCAGAUAUCCUCGGAAGAGCACCCCCAGGAGAAACAAGCUUGGCCACUAUGCUAUCAUCAAGUUUCCGCUGGCCACUGAGUCGGCCGUGAAGAAGAUAGAAGAAAACAACACGCUUGUGUUCACUGUGGAUGUUAAAGCCAACAAGCACCAGAUCAGACAGGCUGUGAAGAAGCUCUAUGACAGUGAUGUGGCCAAGGUCACCACCCUGAUUUGUCCUGAUAAGGAGAACAAGGCAUAUGUUCGACUUGCUCCUGAUUAUGAUGCUUUCGAUGUUGUAACAAAAUUGGGAUCACCUAAACUGAGUCCAGCUGGCUAACUCUAAAUAUAUGUGUAUCUUUUCAGCAUAAAAAAAUAAUGUUUUUCAUAAGAAUGACAACUUAAUUAGAAUCAAAUCUAUAAGCUUUAAGAUUUUACGUUUCUAGUAAGUAUAAUAUUAGCUUAUUUGACUAGAACUCAAGCAGAAUAGGAAUUUAUGCUUGUUUUAUAUUCAAUAAUGAUAAUUUUGAAGAUAUAGUUGUUUUAUUACACCAAAAAUACUAUAUUAAUCUUAUUUAACUAAGUUUUAUCCAAAUCAUGUUAACUUAAGAAACAUUUGAUCAGUUCCUAUAUUUCUAGGAGUUUGGUGAAUAUUUAUUUAUAAAUGCUUAUUUUUUUCCAAGCCAAGUUAGAAUAGAGCACUUUUAGAGGAUUUCAUAAAUGAAUUUUGCAAUGCUC
Molecule: long non-coding RNA, 1136 nt
Organism: Homo sapiens (human)
Lineage: Eukaryota; Metazoa; Chordata; Mammalia; Primates; Hominidae
Gene: RPL23AP7
Product: ribosomal protein L23a pseudogene 7
Source: Ensembl